Leptonychotes weddellii (Weddell seal) is the source of this 384-nucleotide non-coding RNA. The record is from RefSeq and is a predicted model, not a curated record. Lineage: Eukaryota; Metazoa; Chordata; Mammalia; Carnivora; Phocidae.
AAGCUAGUCCUCGAACAAUGCACAAGUGAGUGCACCACGAGAAAAGAAAUAAUUCGAAGUUACAUAUGUCCUCAGGGAAACAAGGUUAAGAGCACAAACUCCAGAUCCAGACUGAUUGGAUUUUAAUCCUAGCGCUCUGAUUCCUAGCCAGUGACCUUGGAGGAUAUCCUGCCUCACCCAACCUCUACCAGAAGAGUCCCAGCAAAAGGGAGGUGCAUGGCAGUGCAAUUCUGCAGACCCACUAACUUCCAAAGGCCUGGGACUGGUUAGGACCAGAGAAGGGCCCGUUCUGACCCACUGGGCACCUGUCCUCCCCAGAGAGCACUCAGUGAAGGGGACCCGCUCCUCCUGAGAACGACUUCCGGCUCGCUUGCAGGUAAGAGC